RNAcentral lists this ribosomal RNA (190 nucleotides) under Lissemys punctata andersoni. Its description in RNAcentral is "partial 12S ribosomal RNA". The record is from RNAcentral. Lineage: Eukaryota; Metazoa; Chordata; Testudines; Trionychidae.
CGGUAAUAACUAAGCGUUGCUAUUUAAAUACACAAAUCUCCGCCAGAAAACUACGAGCAAAACGCUGAAAACUCUAAGGACUAGGCGGUACCUCACACCCACCUAGAGGAGCCUGUUCUAUAAUCGAUACUCCACGCUAAACCUCACCACUCCUCGCCACCCAGCCUAUAUACCGCCAUCUUCAGCAAAC